RNAcentral lists this non-coding RNA (179 nucleotides) under Candidatus Egerieimonas intestinavium. RNAcentral's name for it is "6S RNA". It matches the Rfam family "6S / SsrS RNA". Rfam says of the family: E. coli 6S RNA was the first non coding RNA to be sequenced, but its function was unknown until recently. The record is from RNAcentral. Lineage: Bacteria; Bacillati; Bacillota; Clostridia; Lachnospirales; Lachnospiraceae.
AUUCACCUGGGAUGUGCGACACUCCUGCAUUUUUGAACCUACAUUUAUUUACAGGGAUUCCUACAUCGCCGCGCUAAUGUCAGGCCGCCAUAUUGCAGCGGAAGACAGCGGUACGGCUGCGGUUACCCACUUGGCUCCGUUAGGAGUCAAAAAGCAGGAAACGGCAUUUCGGGGAUUAC